GACGAACGCUGGCGGCGCGCCUAAUACAUGCAAGUAGAACGCUGAAGGAGGAGCUUGCUCUUCUGGAUGAGUUGCGAACGGGUGAGUAACGCGUAGGUAACCUGCCUGGUAGCGGGGGAUAACUAUUGGAAACGAUAGCUAAUACCGCAUAACAGUAGAUGUUGCAUGACAUUUGCUUAAAAGGUGCAAUUGCAUCACUACCAGAUGGACCUGCGUUGUAUUAGCUAGUUGGUGGGGUAACGGCUCACCAAGGCGACGAUACAUAGCCGACCUGAGAGGGUGAUCGGCCAAACUGGGAAUGAGACACGGCCCAGACUCCUACGGGAGGCAGCAGUAGGGAAUCUUCGGCAAUGGACGGAAGUCUGACCGAGCAACGCCGCGUGAGUGAAGAAGGUUUUCGGAUCGUAAAGCUCUGUUGUAAGAGAAGAACGAGUGUGAGAGUGGAAAGUUCACACUGUGACGGUAUCUUACCAGAAAGGGACGGCUAACUACGUG
RNAcentral lists this ribosomal RNA (495 nucleotides) under uncultured bacterium. RNAcentral's name for it is "partial 16S ribosomal RNA". It matches the Rfam family "Bacterial small subunit ribosomal RNA", at positions 28 to 507 of the family's 1533-position model. The record is from RNAcentral.